GUGGGGGUAGUACAGAGACAAUUGCAUGGAAGCCUUUGCCUAACAUAUGCCUGUACUAUAUUCAGCAAUGCUGUGAAUUUAAAGAUACACAUGGGAAAAAGAAAUGGACUGUAUAUACUGUGCCGAGAGCCAUGUGCUAAGUGCCAAGAUAUUUAGGGCCAUAUUCUCAACUGGGAUAAAUCAACAUGGAUCACUGAAGUCAACAGAGAGGAGGAGGAAGGGUCCUCAUGGAUUCCAGCUGAAGAUUUCUACAGGCAAGUGCAGGGAAGAUGUUGCUUUUGACUCAAG
Molecule: long non-coding RNA, 288 nt
Organism: Mauremys reevesii (Reeves's turtle)
Lineage: Eukaryota; Metazoa; Chordata; Testudines; Geoemydidae
Exons: 3
Source: RefSeq, a predicted model, not a curated record